This is a long non-coding RNA of Ceratosolen solmsi marchali, 248 nucleotides long. RefSeq lists it as uncharacterized. The transcript is spliced from 2 exons. The record is from RefSeq and is a predicted model, not a curated record. Lineage: Eukaryota; Metazoa; Arthropoda; Insecta; Hymenoptera; Agaonidae.
UCAAGAAGACGCCGCUUGGAAUUAGUGGCUGCAAGUAUAAUACAAUUUGUCAAUCGCUAGUACGCCAGUGAAAAUAAGGGCACGCGAAAUAUAUUUGUUAUUCUAAAGCUCACAUUAUGUACAAAGCACUUCUCAUUGUGACCAUCCCUCUCAUCUAUCUUUAUCUCGACGAUUGAUAGUGCGACGAACGUAUAACUAAUGGUCCAAAUAUUAUAAAAAUGGUGAAAAAAGCAAAAAAAAAAAAAAAA